CCUACGGGAGGCAGCAGUGGGGAAUAUUGCACAAUGGGCGGAAGCCUGAUGCAGCGACGCCGCGUGAGGGAUGAAGGCCUUCGGGUUGUAAACCUCUUUCAGCAGGGACGAAGCGUGAGUGACGGUACCUGCAGAAGAAGCACCGGCUAACUACGUGCCAGCAGCCGCGGUAAUACGUAGGGUGCGAGCGUUGUCCGGAAUUACUGGGCGUAAAGAGUUCGUAGGCGGUUUGUCGCGUCGUUUGUGAAAACCCGGGGCUCAACUUCGGGCUUGCAGGCGAUACGGGCAGACUUGAGUGUUUCAGGGGAGACUGGAAUUCCUGGUGUAGCGGUGAAAUGCGCAGAUAUCAGGAGGAACACCGGUGGCGAAGGCGGGUCUCUGGGAAACAACUGACGCUGAGGAACGAAAGCGUGGGUAGCAAACAGGAUUAGAUACCCUGGUAGUCCACGCCGUAAACGGUGGGCGCUAGGUGUGGGUUCCUUCCACGGGAUCUGUGCCGUAGCUAACGCAUUAAGCGCCCCGC
This 523-nucleotide ribosomal RNA is filed under the name Rhodococcus sp. AP1Hx. Its description in RNAcentral is "bacterial SSU rRNA". It matches the Rfam family "Bacterial small subunit ribosomal RNA", at positions 338 to 872 of the family's 1533-position model. Lineage: Bacteria; Bacillati; Actinomycetota; Actinomycetes; Mycobacteriales; Nocardiaceae. The record is from RNAcentral. RNAcentral also lists the same sequence under 1 other name.